This 503-nucleotide ribosomal RNA is filed under the name uncultured bacterium. Its description in RNAcentral is "bacterial SSU rRNA". It matches the Rfam family "Bacterial small subunit ribosomal RNA", at positions 791 to 1300 of the family's 1533-position model. The record is from RNAcentral.
UAGUCCACGCAGUAAACGAUGGACACUAGUUGUUGGAUUAUUUCAGUGACUAAGCGAAAGUAAUAAGUGUCCCACCUGGGGAGUACGAUCGCAAGAUUGAAACUCAAAGGAAUUGACGGGGGCCCGCACAAGCGGUGGAGCAUGUGGUUUAAUUCGAUGAUACGCGAGGAACCUUACCAGGGCUUAAAUGUAGUCUGACAGCUUUAGAGAUAGAGUUUUCUUCGGACAGAUUACAAGGUGCUGCAUGGUUGUCGUCAGCUCGUGCCGUGAGGUGUCAGGUUAAGUCCUAUAACGAGCGCAACCCCUGUUGUUAGUUGCCAGCGAGUAAUGUCGGGAACUCUAGCAAGACUGCCGGUGCAAACCGCGAGGAAGGUGGGGAUGACGUCAAAUCAUCACGGGCCCUUACGUCCUGGGGCCACACACGUGCUACAAUGGUAGGUACAGAGAGCAGCCACUUGGGCGACAAGGGAGCGAAUCUAUAAAACCUAUCACAGUUCGGGAUC